AUUUGCUGAAAAUAGACCCUUGUGGCAUGAAUUUCCUAAGAAUUUGGCAGAUCAGUCCAAGUUUAGGAUGAGAGAGAAGAAAAGAGAACUUGCUACUUUCUAGUUAGUUGGCAGAGAGAGAGCACACCGAUGAGUGAGCACAGGCACACGUGUCUUCUGCUUGGAAUAGCCCUUCUCAGGGCACCUCUGUCUGGAAUGGUCCGCGUGUGUUCUGACUGCUCCGGUCCACUGUGAUCCUGAGACUCUAAGCUCAGCUCCUGGCCCUCUUGGAGUGGCACCACCAUGCCUGGUCCCCAGCCUCCCAGAGCACCCAAGGGGGAAAGCUGUGGUGUCCCUGCUACAAAGCACAGGCUCAGGAACCUGGCUCAGAGCUGCUCCUCAGUGCCAGCUGCUGGACUGGACAAGAUUUUAGGCAAGGCACGGCCACACACCAGGUAGGUGAAAACCCACCACACUGAACCGCUGCCAGGGAGCCCACGAAGGCACUGAGCCUCUCCAUGAACGGAGGCCUAACCUCAGCCUGCCUGGCUGAUCUCAUCUCUAGGGUGCUUUACAUGACAGCAGCAGAGUGUGAGCCUGCUGCCCGGAGGAACUAUGCAGGUGUAAGUAGCACCCAGCUUGUCCUCAGGCACGUGGCAG
This 639-nucleotide long non-coding RNA is filed under the name Pan troglodytes (chimpanzee). RNAcentral's name for it is "lncRNA (ENSPTRG00000054168.1)". Lineage: Eukaryota; Metazoa; Chordata; Mammalia; Primates; Hominidae. The record is from RNAcentral.